AUCAUUUCACAGUGGCAAUAUUGUAGCUUAUGAGGUUUUUUCCGAGGCACAAUUAUUGCUUGUUGAAAAACUUUACCCAUUCCCACCAUGACGACUUGAAAUAUAGUCAGCAACGGCAAUUUUUGAUGGUCUUUAAGGAGA
This 141-nucleotide small nuclear RNA is filed under the name Mastacembelus armatus (zig-zag eel). RNAcentral describes it as "U4 spliceosomal RNA (ENSMAMG00000009652.2)". It matches the Rfam family "U4 spliceosomal RNA". From Rfam's summary of the family: U4 small nuclear RNA (U4 snRNA) is a component of the major U2-dependent spliceosome. Lineage: Eukaryota; Metazoa; Chordata; Actinopteri; Synbranchiformes; Mastacembelidae. The record is from Rfam by way of RNAcentral.